CAUCUAGAUUCCUGACCAAGAGAAAGUGUUUGGAAUAGUUCACCAGUGAAGUCAUCUCAACCAGCACAGGGCCUUGACUCCUAACAACAAUCACAUGAACUUGGAAGAGGAUCCUUCCCCAGCUGAACCUUCACUUGAGACCUUGUCCUUGGCCAUCAUCGACAUCUGGAUUCAUGAUACAGAGAAACUUGAGUAAUGAUGACAAUAGCAGUCCAGCGUGCAUGGAUGCUGACAUGGAUGCUGUCUCCCAUUCUUACCACUGGAUGGGAAGAAAUGCUAGAUGCGAUCCAGCCAUUGUGUUCUCGACUCUCAGUUCCAUCUUCUCAACUGACAUUGUUUUCCAAAGUCCG
This 350-nucleotide long non-coding RNA is filed under the name Pan troglodytes (chimpanzee). RNAcentral describes it as "long non-coding RNA NONPTRT005242". The record is from RNAcentral. Lineage: Eukaryota; Metazoa; Chordata; Mammalia; Primates; Hominidae.